AUUUCGUCCUUCGACAAUGGAUAAAAUUCAUGGGAGGUUAGAGAAUCACUCAAUUCCAUUCCAAGUCGAUUUUUACGAUUGUCCGGAGGUCCCGGUCGGCUUGGGAUUGUGCCAUAUUUCCAUUAGGCGAGAUAAGUCUACGGUCAAGAGUUGAAAUUUAGACAUUCAUCGACUUGAUGCAUCAUAGAGAUGGACUAUUAUCAAUCAUGCAUUACCUUCUACAAUUACAUAUUUUAAAGUAAUUGUGGGUGGUGGUAAAAAUAUUUUUUGACUUCUACGAAAAAAAAAAUAAAAUUUAUACUUAUUUUUAUUAUGUUUUAGCAUUGGCAUCGAGACACGGUACGUUCAUAUGUGAUGUUGUUUCGGUUAUGGCGUGCAACAU
Andrographis paniculata is the source of this 382-nucleotide long non-coding RNA. RefSeq lists it as uncharacterized. The transcript has 3 exons. The record is from RefSeq and is a predicted model, not a curated record. Lineage: Eukaryota; Viridiplantae; Streptophyta; Magnoliopsida; Lamiales; Acanthaceae.